Molecule: transfer RNA, 74 nt
Filed under: Pteropus alecto (black flying fox)
Lineage: Eukaryota; Metazoa; Chordata; Mammalia; Chiroptera; Pteropodidae
Also listed under: 1 other name
Rfam family: tRNA
About the family: Transfer RNA (tRNA) molecules are approximately 80 nucleotides in length. Their secondary structure includes four short double-helical elements and three loops (D, anti-codon, and T loops).
Source: Rfam by way of RNAcentral
GACUCCAUAGUGUAGUGGUCACUAUGACUGCUUUACACACAGAAGGUCCUGGGUUCGUGCCCCAGGUGGAGCCA